CUCUGGGGUGGUCGGCCUCUGGUGCCUUGGGCAGCAUGAAGGUCUGAGUAAUUUGGGAUGACUUGCUGGGCCGGGCGGAUAACUCUCAUGCAAGGUCCAGGAACAGGAGGAAGCGGUUGCGAUGCGUGUUCAAAAUGUUGGCACGUCCUCCUCCAUGUCUUGGGAAACCAAGCAGUUUGGAGGCAUUUGCAGGAUAGGAGUACAUAGAUGCAGAAUUUUAAAGCUGCCAUGAGGAUGCAUACAUUGAGAUUGCAACAAAUGCUGGUGCCAUGGGGUCAGAUAAGUGUGACUGGGAUGUGUAGUCCUUCAGAAAUGACACGUCUAGAAUAACGUGAGGGGAGCUGUGUGGUUGAACUCCAGCUGUUUAAAAACAUACUGACUUCAUAAUUUGGAAAAUGAUGUCCCAUAGGUAACUGGUCUGCAUACUCCUAUGAAAAAUAGUGCUCCAAAUGGCAUGACACCCCUUCUUGAAAAGCUUUUAUCUCCUCUCCACCAUUAUCUCCACAGUUUAAACAAAAGAACAACUAUCCCAAUGUAAAAUGCUCUUUUUUUUUAAUCACUAAAUUAAGAAAGUUAAACAGUUUUAAAAUGUAAACUUGCAAAUAAACCAUAACAAAAUGUAA
This is a long non-coding RNA of Pezoporus flaviventris, 623 nucleotides long. RefSeq lists it as uncharacterized. The transcript has 5 exons. Lineage: Eukaryota; Metazoa; Chordata; Aves; Psittaciformes; Psittacidae. The record is from RefSeq and is a predicted model, not a curated record.